Lycium ferocissimum is the source of this 629-nucleotide long non-coding RNA. RefSeq lists it as uncharacterized. The record is from RefSeq and is a predicted model, not a curated record. The transcript has 2 exons. NCBI's taxonomy places the organism in Eukaryota, Viridiplantae, Streptophyta, Magnoliopsida, Solanales, Solanaceae.
CACGAGCAACCCAUUCAGGAGCAUUCUCAUCAGCUUGCCGAGGCAGAGGUGUCUUCUCAUGAGACUACCGAGGCGCAUCAUCUCGUCCAGGAGACUACCUCAUAUUCACCACCACACCCAUCUCAGGAGCCUACAGACCCAUCUCAGGAGCCUACUCAGGCGCCCGUUGACACACAGGUUUGAUUAAAUAAAUAACGUUAAUGUAUUCAAUAUAAAUAAGAAAUGGUACUAAUUAUUAUAUACUUUUCAGGUUCAUCCUUCAGCGCCUGAGGUGGCGAUUCGCAACGAGGAAGAGGUCAAGUUUCCAGACCUAGCUCAGCCUGAGGUUCUGAGCGUGCCAGCGGGACUAGGUCCCAAGAAGAAGCACGAUCUAGUUAAGGGCGCAAGGGCUAGGGGAAGAGGAAAUGAUCAUGACUUGGAGCGCCCGGUUAUUAAGAGGAAAAAGGGCGAUGGAGACAAUGGCGAGGGCGGUGGGGAUAGUAUGAGCCUUAGGCCUAGGGAUAGUCUCCGGCAUACUACAUAUGGGACCUAUCCUCGAUAGUGUAUAUACAUUAGUGUUGUACAAUUUAUCGUAAAUAUUAUAUAUUUUUUGCAUAUUUAUACAUAUUAUCUUAGUCUUUAUUAUUGUU